This 63-nucleotide transfer RNA is filed under the name Rattus norvegicus (Norway rat). It matches the Rfam family "tRNA", at positions 1 to 62 of the family's 71-position model. From Rfam's summary of the family: Transfer RNA (tRNA) molecules are approximately 80 nucleotides in length. Their secondary structure includes four short double-helical elements and three loops (D, anti-codon, and T loops). The record is from Rfam by way of RNAcentral. Lineage: Eukaryota; Metazoa; Chordata; Mammalia; Rodentia; Muridae.
GGGGAUUUAGCUCAGUGGUAGAGCGCGUGCCUAGCAAGCACAAGGCCCUGGGUCUGGUCCUCA